RNAcentral lists this ribosomal RNA (400 nucleotides) under uncultured bacterium. RNAcentral describes it as "bacterial SSU rRNA". It matches the Rfam family "Bacterial small subunit ribosomal RNA", at positions 356 to 773 of the family's 1533-position model. The record is from RNAcentral.
GGGGAAUCUUCGGCAAUGGGCGCAAGCCUGACCGAGCCAUGCCGCGUGAGCGAUGAAGGCCUUAGGGUUGUAAAGCUCUUUCGCCAGGGAUGAUAAUGACAGUACCUGGUAAAGAAACCCCGGCUAACUCCGUGCCAGCAGCCGCGGUAAUACGGAGGGGGUUAGCGUUGUUCGGAAUUACUGGGCGUAAAGCGCGCGUAGGCGGAUUGGAAAGUUGGGGGUGAAAUCCCGGGGCUCAACCUCGGAACUGCCUCCAAAACUCCCAGUCUUGAGUUCGAGAGAGGUGAGUGGAACUCCGAGUGUAGAGGUGAAAUUCGUAGAUAUUCGGAAGAACACCAGUGGCGAAGGCGGCUCACUGGCUCGAUACUGACGCUGAGGUGCGAAAGUGUGGGGAGCAAAC